UCUAAGUGCGAAGCCCACCUCAAGAUGAGAUUACCCAUUCGUAAGAAUUAAGAGCCCAGAGAGAUGAUCUGGUAGAUAGGCUGGAAGUGGAAGAGUUGCGAGACUUGGAGCGGACCAGUACUAAUCGCUCGAGGACUUUACCAAAA
RNAcentral lists this ribosomal RNA (146 nucleotides) under Lactococcus cremoris subsp. cremoris TIFN6. RNAcentral describes it as "Lactococcus lactis subsp. cremoris TIFN6 partial 23S ribosomal RNA". It matches the Rfam family "Bacterial large subunit ribosomal RNA", at positions 2780 to 2925 of the family's 2925-position model. The record is from RNAcentral. Lineage: Bacteria; Bacillati; Bacillota; Bacilli; Lactobacillales; Streptococcaceae.